GAUGAGCGCUGGCGGCGUGCCUAAUACAUGCAAGUCGAGCGAACAGACGAGGAGCUUGCUCCUUCGACGUUAGCGGCGGACGGGUGAGUAACACGUAGGUAACCUACCUAUAAGACUGGGAUAACUUCGGGAAACCGGAGCUAAUACCGGAUAAUAUUUCGAACCGCAUGGUUCGAUAGUGAAAGAUGGCUUUGCUAUCACUUAUAGAUGGACCUGCGCCGUAUUAGCUAGUUGGUAAGGUAACGGCUUACCAAGGCAACGAUACGUAGCCGACCUGAGAGGGUGAUCGGCCACACUGGAACUGAGACACGGUCCAGACUCCUACGGGAGGCAGCAGUAGGGAAUCUUCCGCAAUGGGCGAAAGCCUGACGGAGCAACGCCGCGUGAGUGAUGAAGGUCUUCGGAUCGUAAAACUCUGUUAUUAGGGAAGAACAAACGUGUAAGUAACUGUGCACGUCUUGACGUUACCUAAUCAGAAAGCCACGGCUAACUACGUG
RNAcentral lists this ribosomal RNA (497 nucleotides) under uncultured bacterium. RNAcentral describes it as "partial 16S ribosomal RNA". It matches the Rfam family "Bacterial small subunit ribosomal RNA", at positions 28 to 507 of the family's 1533-position model. The record is from RNAcentral.